UUUCCGUAGGUGAACCUGCGGAAGGAUCAUCGUCGAAACCUGCACAGCAGAACGACCCACGAACUCGUUUUAAACACCGGGGGCGGCGCUCGCUCGUCGCGCGCCUCCCCCCGUCGCCCGAGGCGCGCAAGCUCUUCGGGCGACCAACGAACCCCGGCGCGGAAAGCGCCAAGGAAUACUACAAUCGACAGCCCUCCCCCUCGCGCCCCGUUCGCGGAUCGUGCGGGGGGAAGCGCGCUGCUCUGUUAACACUAACGACUCUCGGCAACGGAUAUCUCGGCUCUC
RNAcentral lists this unclassified non-coding RNA (285 nucleotides) under plant metagenome. Its description in RNAcentral is "partial contains small subunit ribosomal RNA, internal transcribed spacer 1, and 5.8S ribosomal RNA". The record is from RNAcentral.